UGGGUGGCAUGCAUCUGAUUACACUGGCUUUUUUUUUUAAAUCUUCCAUUUCCAUGAGAUGAAUACAAUUAACAACUUUCAAUUUACUUCAGAAUGACUGAAACCUGUUGGUGACCUAUGGGAUAACAUCACCCAUUGCCAUAGAAUAUUAGGAUUCCUAAACAGAGGGAGUCGAUGGAUUUUGUAGCUAAACAAAUCCAUAUUGUGGGUUAAAAAGUGGCAAACUAGUCCUGCAUGCAUGAUGCAUAAUUCAUCGUGAAGAGCUCCUUAGUGUGAAGACCUUUGCUUCUACGUAUUCUUUCAUCAGUGGAUAUAUUACAGCUGUCUAGUAUUUGCUCAUUCAAUGAGUACAUGAAGGUUGAAUCAACGAUAAAGAUUGGGAGCAAUCAGAGAAGAGUGCUUGGGACUACACCUAGAACUUUGUGCAUGUGAAGAACAUACUCUAGCACUGAGAUCCACUCUCUGCCACGCUGGCCUCUGCAUCCACCUGUGCAUUUAGGAAAGUCCUAUUGGAAGUCUUGUCUUUUAUUGUUUAAGAAUAUCUUGGGAAGGGACACAGAAAGAUGAAGAAAGAAGAAAGUUGUCAAGAAAAGAUUUUGUAUUGCUGCACGAAAUUCUCAAAGUCAAUCAAUAUAGUAAGCAAAGACAAUAUUCUACAUUUUUGAAAAUUAAUUUGAGCACCAGUAAACAUGCUCUAGCACUUACAGACACUCCUGUGUUUAUUGGGUUUCUUUAUAUCGUGUUUGGGAGAAAAGGUGAAAAAAAGAGUAAAAGGAAAAGAAAGUAAGACACACUCUGGUCUUGAACAUCGGCUCUCACGUUCUUAACCACUACAUGGUUACAUACAAUACAUCUUUCUACUGAAAAAGGACAUUUGCAGACUUUGGAAAUGCAUUUAAAUGUACUUGAAAAUGUUUGUAUCUUAGCAGUCAUCAAGAUAAAAUCAGUUCCAAUCAGACAAAAGGCAAGUUAUUUCUGGUGAUCAGUUGUGCAUUCAAGCAAGAGAAUCCUGUAACCUUAAUUAUCAUAUUAUAGCAAACUAGCUGUGGAAUCAUCUAAAAGAUUGCUAGAAGCAAAAAAAAAAAAAACUAAACAAACAAACAAACAAAAUAUCAUUCAAACAAACAGAAAUCCCUCCAUUUGUUCCUCCUAGGACUUGAGAUUCUUACUACUCAAGAGAUUUGUCCCCACUGACUUCCAGUAGAGUCAGAAUAUCCAUGAGGCUGAGCCAGUACUCUACUGAGUGCACAAGAACCCUGAGAUUUUUGCCUACCAUACCGUUGGGUGUGUGCAGCCCCCAACCUAAUGACUUCUUUCAGAUAAUUCACUCACACACACUAAGCAUACCAAGCAAUGAAUCAGCUGCCACCCUGUCUGGAGACUGGCCCUGGUGAAACUGAGGACUCUGGAACUGAGGUCAGGAGUGUAGAUGUUUUGUGUGCUGGCUUCAAAACACUGAGAGAAAAUAGCAGGUUAUACCUUGAGCACAAAUACUGCUCCACCAUGUCAACUUGGAAAGCAGCACCACCAUCUGGCACAAGCUGAUUACACAAGGAGUGAAGACUGACAGGUGCUCAGCUCAGCAAUAGAGUACUGUCUUACUUUUUGAUUAAAUAUAGCAGUGGUAACAUCCUGAAAUCUUAAAAAGAAAUGUUUCCAAGACCUAAUGCAGUAUAAAAGGGUUAAUUAGUUUGUUAAUCACUCAAAUAAGGCUUUAUUUGAUAGGAUACAUAAAAUCUAAACCUACCAAAUAUGGAAGAAAGGAAAAGGGCAUCCAGGACUGCAUUCACUCCCUGCAAAUCAAUGUGACCUACUAUUUGAUCAAAUACUUUGUGAUACUUAUAGUUCACAGUUUAAAGUGAUGGACAUACAGGAGGAAGGCCUGAAGUUCCAUCCAUAUGGGAGCAUGAAAUGAAAGAGUAUCCAGAAGGCGUCUUCUUAGGUGACAAUGCACUCUGUGGUCACCUUGACCUACCACUUGGCAGCUGACUUGUUAUUACUAUUUUCAGUAUGGAUUGUUGCCUCAUCUCCUUAUAGUACAUUAUCAUUAGAAGGCUGUACCUGUAUGUAAGAUCCCUUAGGAUCUGUAGUGGCUGUGAUGGGUUCUUAUAGCUUGCCUUUAAAGGGUACUAUCUGGUCUAUAUGAUUGGUGUUUCUUUCCUCCCACCAGAAUUGUAAUAUUCGAUGCUGCAGUGUGGUUCAAUACUAGCUUGACUAUCAGGACGUGUGGCAGACAGAUGUUUUGUCUCAGAAUCUCUGUGGCUGCUUCUGUAGUGUUGUCGUGUUUAGUAUUCAGUGGCUCAGCCGGAGUGUAUGAUGCUCUGAAUCACAAGGACAAUACAUAGUCACUUCUUCAACCAAAUACAAGACCUAUUUAUAGAAAGCUAAUGUCAACAAAACUGAGGAUAUGUCACACAACAAAGAAUAGUGUCGAAAGUAGUAUAGAAGCUCAGAAAAAGGAGGUGCCGGACUAUGAGGUAGCUGGGAAAACUAGAUUCUUCUAAGUGUGUCUUUCAUAUUUAUUAUAAGUAAUUAUUACUUUAUAACAUUUAUAAACAUUUAUUAUACAUUUCAAAAUAAUUUGUAUUGAAAAGAUACUCUGGGCUAGCCAAGUCUUUUCCAGAUUUAUAAUAUAACAUACUUAAAGGAUUACCAUAUACUUGCAAUUAGCCAAGACUAAGCACUUUAGUUUCAUAGUCAGUAGUAAUUUAGCAGAGCGUAGACUUGAACCUAUGCCAAACAUCCCAAAUGCCAACCCAAAUCAUGGACAGACAGACAGAUAACGGGAAGCAAAUCAUGGAUAGACAGACAGAUAACGGGAAGCAAAUCAUGGAUAGACAGACAGAUAACGGGAAGCAAGAGUGCAUAAGGAAGUGUAACCUCAACUCAUCCUAACCAUCACCAGGAUUUGCUUGGUCAAGAGCAAGACAGCAGGGCAGCAUAAACUUGAUCAAGAAAUAAACAAAUCCCAUACAUUGUUACAUUCAGGACAAAGAACUUAUAAUGAGUUGAUGUUAUUAUAGUUAUUUUAAAUAUUCAGGAAUAUUUUUAAUUAAUUAAAUAUAAAUUUUACACAUACUUCACAUAGGUUUAGGGAAUUCUUAAGAAGGGGAAGUCAUAGAAUUUCCAUAUCUUUAGAUCCUUGAGGAUUUGGUACCUUUUUUUUUUAAACAAAUUGUGUGAAUUCAGAUUUUCAGUGUAAGGCUAUAGAACAUCACAUAUUACUUAAAAAAUCUUGGAAAUUUAUAUACUAAUAAUCCAUCACUAUUAUUCCAUUAAAGUAGGCAGUUUGGUAAAAAUUUGCAUUCAUUUUUCAGUGCUUUCCAAGUUAUAAACUAUGUAAUUCUUUAUGGUAAGUGAAACAUGAAUGUUCUUUACUUUUCUUCUCCUUUUUCUCCUCUUUUUCUAAUUAAUUCAUUUAAGGAGGAUUUACUUAUGUGGGAAGAUAUACUUCUUACAUCUUUAAAAUCAAGAAGUGUAUGCAACUUACCAAUCACAUAAAAUAUCUAACAGGACUUAACUUACGUUAUCAUAAAGCUCACCAGUAUCACUUUAAUUGGGAUAAAUGGCAUUUGUUCUUUCCAACAGUAGAUGGGAAAGAUUGAAAAACAGUUUAUGUUUCCUAAGAGUCUAAUAGAAAAAGAAUGGGGUUUAUACAUUUUGUCCAAAACUCCCACACCAUGGAAACAAACUGUCUGUACAACUUGUUCUGGACUUUUUCUAUUUAUUUGUUUUAAAAAUCAAUUAUAGUGAGUAUAGUUGUAGGAGAAAUAAGUAGGGAAGAUGUUGUAGAGACUUAAAACAUUUUUAAAUUAAUUUGAUCAUGGACAACAAAGAUAAUGAAAAUGUUAUUGUGAAUUUCUGAAAACUUAUGCAAAACUGAUUUGGUGGAUUCUUGUAAAUAUGGUAUCUAUGUACAACUACUUAAGGACAUGCUGCAGAGAAAAUAGCAGCAUGACCUGAGUGAAAGACCAACUCUUCCUAAGUAUUGUUGUAUACAGUUACAUUAGUAUUUGAUGGCAAUUUCUGCUAGUUUGGUUUCUCUGUUCAACCUCAAGGCAGUGACUUAGUGAUCUGUGGAUUUUAUCUGUCUACAUCCACUUAACCACUCAUUCAUUCAGUACUGUAGUGAUAUUAUGGAUAUUUUAAACAGGACCACAAAGUAGUAACUUUUAUACAUGAGGCACCAAGAAAGAGAUAUUGACACUUGUUUACAAGGCAACUAUUGUUGAAUUUGUGAUAAUGCUUGUCUAACCAGGUAAAAUGAAGCACUGUUUGCUAAGAUGAGGCUAGGAAAGGAAGGUGCAGCAUGGGGAGAGAAGUGAAAAGCUGUGUCUCUAACUCACUCAUACCUUUAGGGAAUCUGGAUGCUUCUAAUAAAGCCUGGCAUGUAAAAGUAAAAAAGUAAGAAGUCUGGCUUAUGGAUAGCAGAGUCAUAGGCACACACAACAUACCUAAGGACCUGAGAUUGUAUAGAUAACAGAGAUCAAAUGAAUAGUCACCUGGCAUUAAGUCCUGAAAAACAUUUGAAGACAGAAAAGCAGAGGUUCAAAUACCUGAAGACAGGACACAGAGGGAAGAGGACACCAGGUGUGUGUCUAAUAUUAUGUACCCAUUCUGCUUCUAGAAGAAAUAGUAAAACUACAAUUGAAAGAUUAAGAUAAUAACUGAAAAAUAUGCAUCAGGCUUGACAAUGUGAAAGUUAGUGGUCCUCCUAGAGUUGCUUUGGCUUGGUGGCUAAAUGGCUGAGAACCAUCUUGGAUGCAAUGGAUGGUGAAUGUGAGUAGAUGACUAACAUUAGCUUAUCUUUCACUUAGAAAUACUCACAGAUAAAGCAGCAAAGGAGAUUUCAGACAUAGUACCUCAGGUAGUUGGAGGCUCAAGAUAAAUGGUUUCCUUUUGAAUUGUUUCCAAGGUUAGUAUAUUACAAUACAUGAUAUUAAACAUUCAAGGAAAAGCAAUAAGUAGCCAAAAAACUGGGUUUCGGUACAUGGGGAGAUAAGCACAUUGAAACUGCUAAAAUGAGGAAAGGAAGAAACAUGAAGAAGAUGCAGAUAGAAAGAGUAUUGGCUUUGAACAUGUGACUAUAAAUGAAUGUCAUCUUCUUAUUCUGUAAACCAAUAGCCAUAGAGAUCAAUAAGUAAUCAAUGUCCCUAUCCGUUCUGUUUCAAACCUUAAGGAAUAUAUUGAAAUCUUGAGCUACUCUGCAGUCAGAGUCUGCAUAUCUUCUUCAGGUUCAUGAACUAAGUACGGAGAACCCAACUUUCAAGCUGCACUUCAUCAGAUCUGUUAUUGGAUCUCUAGGGAGAUGCUUUUCUUUGCCUACAGUUUGUCAUUUAGAAAUUUAAAAAUAAUGUUACUACUUGACUGCUUAAUUUAAAAAGUGUGCCUAAGGCACAAGAUACAAAAUUAAACAAAAGAGUUAAUUUUGUUGUUAGGAUGGACUGCUUUUGAGGAGAGACUAGUACUUCCCAGAACUUGAUUAUCAAGGGAUUUCUACCCACUCCUCCUCACUGCUUGUAUGAAUUGUAGUGUGCUCUGUAUAUUUUCAUCCAAUAGCAGCAUAAAGAAGUGCAGUUAAUGUUUUCCUUCUUCUUUGAUUAAAGAAAUGUUUUGUCUUAACUAUCUAAGAAUGUAGUAUAAUAGGAACGUAUUUAAUUUUAGCCAUGGGGUUUUCAUUUCCUACCACAUUAAAAAAUAAAUAGACAUAAAAGUAAUAGGAUCAUGCAGAGAAGAGAGUUAGGCAGAAUUGUAUGACUUUAGUAUUUUGAAUUUCAAGAGAACAGAAUAACUGCUGGUUAUGACAGGCCUGUGGGAGCUGCCUCAACUAGGUAAAUUACCCAUAUUCCUGUCAGCUAGUAAAUUUCAUUUAACUUUUGACUUACAGCAUUAUAGAUGAGUUUAAUAAAAGCAAAUCCUAGAUCAAGGUGUAUACUGGCUAUUCAAAUGACCCAUUGACUAACUAGGCCUUAUUAAAGUAGGUAUUGGCUGAGUGGGACGAAACACUGAAGAAUGACAUCAAAGUGGACCCUGAAUCCUUAGUCAUCAGGACAAGUAAUAAUCUAAAGCAAUGCCUUACAUUGAAACCAUUGUUUUAAAAAUAUUACAGAUUAGACACCAGGAGAAUAAUCAGCAGCAGAACACACGUAUAACAGGUAUAGGGAUUGGUUUCCGUGAUUAUUCCUGCACAUGUUCUCUCUCUCUCUCUCUCUCUCUCUCUCUCUCUCUCUCUCUCUCUCUCUCUGCCUCCCUCUCUUUCUCUGCCUCCCUCUCUCUCACACCACACACACACACACACACACACACACACACACACACACACAAAUCGAACUCUAAAAGACUUUAAGAUUAUAAGGUAAGAUAAAAUACAUUUUAUAUAAUUAAAAAAGUACAAAUUUUAUAGAUACACAUAGGAUCAAGUCACAGAAGUGCACUAUAAAGUAACGUGGAGCCGGGGGUAGGAAAAAAACAUAGUCAUGCUAUUUUCUUUAGCUCUUGGUAUUAUUUUGGUAUUGUCAAUUUUUGCAAUAAAAUAUGAUUUAUGUUGAUUACGAGGUUUCGUAUUCCUUUAAAUUGUGUGGCCAGAUGGGUGUCUUCCUUUCAUUGGCCUAAUCUUUGCAUUGUUAAUUUACCAAGAAAUAGCUGUUACCAGGGAUCACUGCAUCCACAGUUGGCUCCUACUGCCACAGUACAGGCAGAAUUUCCUUUUGGAAACCCAUCAUCUUACAUACAAACAGCACCAAGACUUUCUCUAUGACAGACUUUAUCUUCAACAGUCCAGAGAACCACAACAUCAACCUGAAUUAGAAAACACAAUCCCCCAAAAAAGGAUAAAUUCUACAGAUUUUCUCUCCACAACAGAGAAUAGUGGCAAACGAGACAGCUGGGGAAAAGUCAAGUUUUUCAACUGUUAGGAGUCUAUGUAUCUUUCUGGAUAUAGACUUAACCAGCACAUAUAGAAAGCAAUGGCCUUUCCUCAUUUAACUCUGAGAGUAUAUAAGAAAUCCACUAUUAAGGUCAGAGAGAAAUCCUUUAUUAGGAGGUUGUAUUCAACUUGAAAAUAAGUCCCGAGAGUAUAAGAAUACUUCUAUCUUCUCCAUCUGUGAGGUACUCUGCUUGAUGACUUGCGUGAAGGAAGGCCCCCAGCUCUUAUUUUUAAUUAAUUUUUUUUUGCUUCUUAUAGUUCCUUGUUGAAAUGGAUAGGUAGCCUCAACCCUUACACCAGCAGGAGAUUAUCUCACUGUUGGUGAGUAGAGCUCUCAACACCAACUAAAGACAGGAUCCUGCAGGAGAAACAGGGAACAUUGCGGUGGAGACACUUGUGUCAGUCCUCACAGUAGAGGUGGCAUGGGAACUAUUUUUAGAAGAAGGAAUCCCAGGACCAGGAACAAAUGUCCUCUCCCCUCUGCUCCUCCUCACUGCUCUGUCAGGAGGUCAGUCCUAAAACAAGGCGCUGACUUGCUCACCUUCGCCACUUUUUCAAAUGGAAAUAAGACAAUUUUUGUGGAUUUUAUAGCCUACAUUAUGAGCUUUGUUCUAUUCAUAAGACCUGUGGAUAGUACAGUAUUUUCUAUCUUUCUGGUUAAGUACUACCAAUGUACAUUCCUCAUUGGUGUUUCUAAAUAUUCGACAGAAACAACGAAGAGAAAAGGCAGAAGGCUUAUAGUUUCAGAAGCUUUAGCACAUGGUAGCUUGUUGUUCUGUGCACUUGGGAAAAACAUCAGGGCACUGGGAACAUGUAGGAGGGGAGAGACAGUCAUGAACAUAGACAGGAAACAGGGAAGGAAGCAAAGGGGACAGGAAGCUAAGAUACACAAAGGCUUCCCCAGUGACCUGCUUCCUCUGUCUAAGCCCCCCCUUCUCCAGUUUAUAGAACCUUCCAAAAUGAUGCCAUCACUUGAAACCUAGCGUUCAACAUACAGGAGUAUGUGUUUGUGAUUCAAACUGUAGAAAAAAAAUCACUAGUGAACUUCCCGCUUGAAAAACGUAGUAACUUCAUACAACCUGAAACAAAUUCAUCAAGAUGAAUGGUUAUAGAAGACACUUAAAAUAAUGAAGCAAACAUUCAGUAACUAGGAAGAAGAUUACAAAUUCUGGGUUUUGCAGUCUCGAAUUUUGCACUCUUAUACAGUGGGAUCUGCCAUUGUUAUGUUAAACCUUUCACAGAAAAUCAUAGUAAAUUUAUAGUCUACUUACAGUCUAUUUAAUUCCUUUAUUUCUCACAAUUUGGAAAAUCCCUAAAACAUUCACGUCAAUAGGCCUGGAGUAUUAGUUGUUUACUUUUAACUAAUUCUGACUCUUUCUUUCUUUUCCCAUGUCAAAUUUUUGUUAGUUUGUCUUUUUUUUUCCAGAACUGAGGACCAAACACAGGGCCUUUUACCACUGAGCUACAUCUCCAACCUCUCAUGUCAAAUUUAAAAAGCAAUCUAGUCCUGGGAGAGACUGACCCCAAAUCGUGUUUAAAGUAGGCUCUAUAUUUUUGAUCCGUCUAGCUAAUACUCACCUUUGUAGAUGAUGGAAAAUAAGUAGUGAGAUUUGAAAAUACUAGCAUUUUGUAUUAUAUAGCAUUAUAUACAACCAUUAUAUAGUUACAGACACAUUAAGAGUGGCCUAGAUCUAUUGUCUAUCUUGGAUUAUGGCUUUUUACAAUUGAAAUAAAAUUCAAGCCACAAAUGAAAUAGAAAAUUUCACUAAUUUCCAUUCAGCAAUGAUAGCAGAAACUCCCCAUGGGUUAUUAUGUCGGUGAGAUGUGUGAACAAACCUGAUAAUAAGCAAGUAAAGUGUAUCAUAAAAUAUACUGUGUUCAUUUAUUGUGACAACUAGGGUAUAAUUAUGCUAGGAAAUGUGCACACUUUAGUCAGUGAAAGUAAUAAAACCAAAGCACCAGGAGACCUUUCUCAACUUUGUGCUAUUAAACUGCUUUUGAGUAGAAGGUGAACAGUCUAAAAAUAUGGGCGCAGCAUUCAUUUUUAUGGAUUAGUGAAGCAGGGGUUAGUCAGACUCUCUUGUAGCCUAAUAAAUAAAACCUCUCUGCUCUUUCCUCAUUAGUUGUAGGUAUAGCACUAAAGGACAUUUCCCUCAACUCCAAUGUAAUUAUAACUCUGAAACAUGUGUGCUUUGUCCAGGAUAUUCAUCUCCCCUAUUCCCUUCAAUUAAGGGAACACAAGAGGAGGGGUAGCCCAGUGUGAGAAGGGCUGCACUACAACUGCUGCCAGGAGAAAACUUGUAGAAAGAUACGGAACAAAAGGACUGGAGAAGAUAAGGCUGCAAGAUGCUGAGUGGGUGCACUGAUUAAGGCAUUAGUGGAAAUCACCAAGGCAGUACAAGCAGCGUAUAAUUUCAGGGUAGGAAACCCUUAGUUUCCCAGAGUGAACUGCUAUUUUGAAAAGAGGUGUUAAUUGAAUUUUAUGGUAUUUUUAACAAAAAUUAAAAUGCAUAUAUUUUACUACCCUAAUAGUUUUAUUGCUACUGUGAGAGUUAUGAACAGUGCUACAUCAAGAAGCAUAUGCACCAAUUCACUGAAUGGCACCAGAGUGGGUUUGCAUGGUUUCCUUCCGUGCCUUGGCAGCCGACAAUCACGAUCAUAAUUAUAGGAUUGGAGCCACCUGCUAACUCUGUGAAUGGAACCACGUGUCUCCAAAUGAAAUAAGAGCAAUUCUAACAUUAAAAAGAAAAUGAGUGUUAAGCCAAAUUGGCCUCCAGGGUCAGCCUGUGAAAGCUAGGUAUUGUUUUUUCUAAGCACCAAUGGCUGACUCCCACCUUAGGUUUUACAACUGAGGAGGAAGACGCAAGGCCUACUGAGACUUUAUGCUGAAACUAGAUUACCUAAUGAAAUGCCAACAUUCCGUGUUGCUUGUGAGAAGGCUGCUGAGUCCAUAGUUCUAUGGUCAGAUUCACAGUCUCAAAUGUUAAAGGGAGUCCAAUGCAUAGGAACAGACGUGAGGGAGCCAACUGCCUGUAACUGUUGGCUUUGUGUACCCUUAACUCGUUAAAACACUGGAGAUUAUUAAUAGUCAGCAUCAUGAGAAUGAUGACGUCAAGGAAGUAGAUCUGUAAGGAAUUACGAAUUCCAAUGUACAAAGUAUAUUAAUCCAAAAGGAUUUUUCUCUGAAUCUCACGAAUAAGAAGUCUCACCUGGGUUCCUCAAGACCGUUUUGUCAGCCUUCGUUUCCCCUACUUACACGCUUCUGUUAGAGCAGUAUUUUCUAUACUUUCAUGUGUACCAUGAACCAUCUGGGAUCUCGUUAAAUGCUUGCCCAGCGUCAGGAGAUAUGCAGGGCAGGAAAGGGAAGGAAUGUCUGCAAGUUGGCAUCUUUAUGAGAUUGCAGGUGCUGCUGAUGCAGCUGGUCCUCCAGCCACAGUUUGAAAUGCAAGAUAUGACAGAACUUCUUUGACAGUGUCAUAAUUAUCUAACAUAAGUCAGCCAUUUAUUCUUGCCCAUGUUCUUUUUUAAAAGCAAACACGAGGGCAGCAUUCCCAUCGAUGUGAAAAAUAAAAUGUUGCAGGUUUGAGGGCAAACUAGGCUCUUGAUGUCUGUUAACCCGAAUCUGUAAGACAACUCCAAGACACUAGUAGUCAUGUUCUCAUUUCAUGAUAUAGAAGCUAGUGGUUAUGGACCCAUAGGCAACAUGUAUAGACAAACUGCAAUUCAGGGUUCCUUUCCAAGAUCUGUACUCUUUCUAUUGUCCUGAAAGUCUCUCCUUGUUUACUUCUACAUGCACAGAGCAUGUUAGAGACCUUCAUGCUAUGGAUGGUGCUCAAAUGAUGCACUGGGAAUGAUGAAAACGUCAUAGAUUCACCUUUGCUCAGUCCCUUAUGGAGCCUGUUCUCUCUGCUUCUCUGCCCAGUCAAAGGCACAGCAUUCUGUUUCCACUGACUGCCCACAAUUACACAACUGUGUAUCCCUUCUGAUCUCUCUCUCUCUCUCUCUCUCUCUCUCUCUCUCUCUCUCUCUCUCUCUCACACACACACACACACACACACACACACACAGUGACUAUUUCUACCACACAAAAAUUAAUACAUUACAAUACAAAAUUGAUACACACAAUACAUUUAACUCAUCCCAGCAAUGCUUAGUGAGUGCAUUCUAAGCACCAGCCAAAGUUUUUGAACAUUUUGAGCCAAAACCUACAAAAUUCCUUCUAGCCUUAGACUAAGGAGAAUUUUCCUAAAUAAAAUUCAAACCCAUUCUGGGCACAAUUCAUUUAGAAUUCCUCACUUGGCUUUUGAGAUACUGACUGUUUAAUCAAUAACAUUUUCAGAUUUGGACAAGUUAGCAUGCAGGAGUGCUCCCGGUGUAGACAAGCCCUUGUCUACAUUCCCAUGACUCAGUCUUGGAGAUAAAAUACUGUUCCCAUGCUGUUCCUCAUUUUCCUCCAACAGUGUCUUAGGCCAGAGGCAGAACUUUCAAAGUCACAUCCAAUGUGAGUAUCAGCUGGAAAGACAGAAGUCCCUGCAUUAAAUCAUAGCACUUCCUAGCACAGUAAGCUUGAAUUUGGGAGUAUAGAGCAUCCAGGCCAAGCAGAUAACUAGAUAAAUCAGGUUCACUGACAAAGGUAAUCUUUUUCUCACUAAGGACCAAAAAUAUACACUAGAAAACUUCCUUCAAAACAUGGAAAAGGUAAAACCUGACAUCUGGGAAAAAUCCCAUUCUAAUGAUUUCAUGGUUUGUUUUUAACAUCAUCCCAAGUUUGUGCUCUCCUAAACAAGGAGCGAAUGAAUGGUUUAGAGCAUGGAGAAUGCUUCACAUUCUUCUGCACUGGAUGGCACUGAAAACUUCUGCUCAUCCACUAAUGCUGUGCAACACUUUGGUGAGGCUGUGGGCUUUGUAAAGUUUCAUCAUGUGCCAGUUCAUCUCUUUGCAGACAUAUUCAGGGUACAGAGCUAGGGCUGAGUGACUUAAAAUAAAGCAUUAGGCCAGGCUCACCCUGAUUCAGUCUUAUUUUGCUAAUUUCCAUUUUGAUAAAAUCUAUAGCAAAUAGUCUUGAGAAUAGACACAAUGAAAAAUUCCAUGCUCUAAUCUGUGCAGUUCUAACUCCUAUGAGCAUGAGAACAUGGAAACACUUCUUUACCUUAGAUAUCAAUAUUUUCAGAAGGUUAUUGUUGUCAUUAAUGUAAAAAUUAGAAAAAAUAAACAGUAAGGAUUCGCAUAGUAGGGAUCCAGUUAGCAAUACUGUUCUUGGUCUUACAAAUAAUUUUAUAUCCCUAGUUAUAUUAUUUGGUUUAAAAAUCAAAAUGUUGUAUAGGUGCUGAUAGUAAUUACAUUUUUAAUAUAGCUGAACAAGUACACAGACAUACUUCAUACACUGGCAAAAGUUUCAAUUUCAAACAAAUUUGAUGCAAAUGCUUAUGUAAAAGAAGCUAUAGAUAUCUUUACAACAGGAAACAAAAAGCACAUGCCUUUUCUCUUUGUCUCAAGAUUAAUUUAAAUUUCUGGUCUGAACAGAGGAAAACAUUCCAUUAUCAAAUUUUAUUUUCUUUUUUUUUUUUGGUUCUUUUUUUUCGGAGCUGGGGACCGAACCCAGGGCCUUGCGCUUC
This is a non-coding RNA of Rattus norvegicus (Norway rat), 12540 nucleotides long. Lineage: Eukaryota; Metazoa; Chordata; Mammalia; Rodentia; Muridae. The record is from RefSeq and is a predicted model, not a curated record.